CUUCAUAAAGCUAGAUAACCGAAAGUAAAAAUAACCCCAUUACACGCCUGAGGAGGAUGUGGAGAAGAAAGGAAAUCCAUCAAAAGGAAAAUGAGGAAAAGAAAAAAUGAAAUGAAAAGAAGGAAGAGAAAGGAAAUGAGAGGUGGAAAAAAAAAAGAACUGGGGAAAAAAAGACAACUUUUUGAAACUGGAAUUAAAACCCGAGGUGAAGAACACAGGCUGGAAGAAAAAAGAAGAAAAGAAAGAAAGAAAGUCCUCAAAGCCAGGAAAUCUGUGUUAAUUGCUUAUGAAUGUCUCUGUCUAAAAAAUUAUCGAAUUGAUGUUGUCGUGCUUUUUUUUGACAGCCUGUCUGUUACAUUUUUUUAAAAUAUUCAUGCACCGAAAUCUAAUUACUAGGCAAAUUUAAUGAUAAUGAAAUGAAGGCACUUUAGCAGAAAGCACAGGGCCUUGUUAAUGUUUUCUCAGCCUCUGUCUUGUUCAUAUUUUUAAAUUAUUUUUUUUUUACAACUGCCUUUCUUGCAUUUAAAAAAAAAAAGGGUUGCCGAAAAUAAAACUUGGAUUGCUGAAAA
This 569-nucleotide long non-coding RNA is filed under the name Struthio camelus australis. Its description in RNAcentral is "lncRNA (ENSSCUG00000005539.1)". The record is from RNAcentral. Lineage: Eukaryota; Metazoa; Chordata; Aves; Struthioniformes; Struthionidae.